RNAcentral lists this ribosomal RNA (253 nucleotides) under uncultured bacterium. RNAcentral's name for it is "partial 16S ribosomal RNA". It matches the Rfam family "Bacterial small subunit ribosomal RNA", at positions 524 to 776 of the family's 1533-position model. The record is from RNAcentral.
UACGUAGGGCGCAAGCGUUGUCCGGAAUUAUUGGGCGUAAAGAGCUCGUAGGCGGUUUGUCGCGUCUGUCGUGAAAGCCCACGGCUUAACCGUGGGUCUGCGGUGGAUACGGGCAGACUAGAGGCAGGUAGGGGAGAAUGGAAUUCCUGGUGUAGCGGUGAAAUGCGCAGAUAUCAGGAGGAACACCGGUGGCGAAGGCGGGUCUCUGGGACGGUACUGACGCUGAGACGCGAAAGCGUGGGGAGCAAACAGG